CAUAGGGUCAACAGCCGGACGCCUUACUCACAGAAGCAGUUGAGUCUGCGUGACCACUUGGUUGUUAACCUUGUCUUCUUCAAUCUUUUGAGCUGUGUGGCCUACAUCACAAUAUACUAAAGAUUUUUGGGUCAUGAAAUUCGCUAACCUUUAGUAUCAAAAGCACGCGAUUGUAUGGAAUUUCGUAAACAAAGGUCUGAGAGAACUCCUUACUUUUUAUGUAACCAAUUUCGUGGGUUGCGUAGCAAGGAUCACAACACUUUAGGAAUUAGUGUAGACCUAAAUGAUCAUUCUAUGUUUGGCAAAGGUAAGCUUAUCAACUGUGUAGCAUGUUGGCAGUAGAUAAAGCCUCGUAUAUGCACGUUAACUGUUUAACCUUUCAUAAAAAUGUGUGGUUUUAUAAGUUUAGCACGGCUUACUGCUCAAAGGGCAAGCCAUAGGCAGUCUUCUGGAAACUUUAGGCUACCUUAAUGUACUCAGU
Molecule: long non-coding RNA, 481 nt
Filed under: Malus domestica (apple)
Lineage: Eukaryota; Viridiplantae; Streptophyta; Magnoliopsida; Rosales; Rosaceae
Description: long non-coding RNA (MDOM_LNC020831)
Source: RNAcentral